RNAcentral lists this ribosomal RNA (253 nucleotides) under uncultured bacterium. Its description in RNAcentral is "partial 16S ribosomal RNA". It matches the Rfam family "Bacterial small subunit ribosomal RNA", at positions 524 to 776 of the family's 1533-position model. The record is from RNAcentral.
UACGAGGGGGGCGAGCGUUGUUCGGAAUUAUUGGGCGUAAAGGGUGCGUAGACGGUUUGGUAAGUCUUAUGUGAAAUCUACAGGCUCAACUUGUAGUCUGCAUGAGAAACUGCCGGGCUUGAGUAUGGGAGAGGUGAGUGGAAUUCCUGGUGUAGCGGUGAAAUGCGUAGAUAUCAGGAGGAACACCUGUGGCGAAAGCGGCUCACUGGACCAUAACUGACGCUGAUGCACGAAAGCUAGGGGAGCAAACAGG